This 497-nucleotide ribosomal RNA is filed under the name uncultured bacterium. RNAcentral describes it as "partial 16S ribosomal RNA". It matches the Rfam family "Bacterial small subunit ribosomal RNA", at positions 28 to 507 of the family's 1533-position model. The record is from RNAcentral.
GAUGAACGCUGGCGGCGUGCCUAAUACAUGCAAGUCGAGCGAACGGACGAGAAGCUUGCUUCUCUGAUGUUAGCGGCGGACGGGUGAGUAACACGUGGAUAACCUACCUAUAAGACUGGGAUAACUUCGGGAAACCGGAGCUAAUACCGGAUAAUAUUUUGAACCGCAUGGUUCAAAAGUGAAAGACGGUCUUGCUGUCACUUAUAGAUGGAUCCGCGCUGCAUUAGCUAGUUGGUAAGGUAACGGGUUACCAAGGCAACGAUGCAUAGCCGACCUGAGAGGGUGAUCGCCCACCCUGGAACUGAGACACGGUCCCGACUCCGACGGGAGGCAGCAGCAGGGAAUCUUACGCAAUGGGCGAAAGCCUAACGUAACAACGCCGCGUGAGUGAUGAAGGUCUUCUGAUCGGAAAACUCUGAUAUUAGUGAAGAUCAUAUGUGUAAGUAACUGUGCACAUCUUGACGGUACCUAAUCAGAAAGCCACGGCUAACUACGUG